RNAcentral lists this ribosomal RNA (426 nucleotides) under uncultured cyanobacterium. RNAcentral's name for it is "bacterial SSU rRNA". It matches the Rfam family "Bacterial small subunit ribosomal RNA", at positions 357 to 796 of the family's 1533-position model. The record is from RNAcentral. Lineage: Bacteria; Bacillati; Cyanobacteriota.
GGGAAUUUUCCGCAAUGGGCGAAAGCCUGACGGAGCAAUACCGCGUGAGGGAUGACGGCCUAUGGGUUGUAAACCUCUUUUUUCAGGGAGGAAUCAAAUGACGUGUACCUGAAGAAUAAGCAUCGGCUAACUCCGUGCCAGCAGCCGCGGUAAGACGGAGGAUGCAAGUGUUAUCCGGAAUCACUGGGCGUAAAGCGUCUGUAGGUGGUCCAAUAAGUCAACUGUUAAAUCUUGAGGCUCAACCUCAAAAUCGCAGUCGAAACUAUUAGACUAGAGUAUAGUAGGGGUAAAGGGAAUUUCCAGUGGAGCGGUGAAAUGCGUAGAGAUUGGAAAGAACACCGAUGGCGAAGGCACUUUACUGGGCUAUUACUAACACUCAGAGACGAAAGCUAGGGUAGCAAAUGGGAUUAGAUACCCCAGUAGUCA